UAAUUAGUAUAUCCUUAGAUAAGGGUUAUAGUGAGGUUCAGUUAAUGCCCCCCUUCAACUUGAUUGAUAAUACUGCCAUACAAUCUGAACCAGCUGGGCUCUUUUGCACAGUUAUGGUACUCAUCAUUGUAAUCAUGAACAUAAAUUAUAAUAUGCAUUGGUGAUCAGCUUGUUUUAUCUCAGUUGUGAGGCGAUUGAAUUUAAGUGACUGCCAACUUGUUCCUUUUUCACUUGGUAUCUGGUUCCUGGUAACUUGAAGAUGUAUUGAGAUCAUGUGUCCCUUUAACAUUUCGUACCAUUAUAUAGGUUAUUGAUUUUACAACUGUCCAGGCUUGAAUUUACUUGGGAGUACAUAUUCCAAGGACUUGAAGCAAAUGCCAAUCUUAUGAUGACCCUCUCCCUUGCUGCAUUAGGAUCCUUGAUGUGGCUGAGGAAGAACAAACCUAGGACUUUAAUUCCAAUAAUUUAUGCAUGUGCUAUGCUUCUGGCAACAAUGCCAUCUAUCACCAGGAGGAGCACGCCUAGGAUAAGAAGGAGCACUCCCAGG
Long non-coding RNA from Triticum dicoccoides, 547 nucleotides. RefSeq lists it as uncharacterized. Lineage: Eukaryota; Viridiplantae; Streptophyta; Magnoliopsida; Poales; Poaceae. The transcript is spliced from 3 exons. The record is from RefSeq and is a predicted model, not a curated record.